GAUGAACGCUGGCGGCGUGCCUAAUACAUGCAAGUCGAGCGAACAGACGAGGAGCUUGCUCCUCUGACGUUAGCGGCGGACGGGUGAGUAACACGUGGAUAACCUACCUAUAAGACUGGGAUAACUUCGGGAAACCGGAGCUAAUACCGGAUAAUAUAUUGAACCGCAUGGUUCAAUAGUGAAAGACGGUUUUGCUGUCACUUAUAGAUGGAUCCGCGCCGCAUUAGCUAGUUGGUAAGGUAACGGCUUACCAAGGCGACGAUGCGUAGCCGACCUGAGAGGGUGAUCGGCCACACUGGAACUGAGACACGGUCCAGACUCCUACGGGAGGCAGCAGUAGGGAAUCUUCCGCAAUGGGCGAAAGCUUGACGGAGCAACGCCGCGUGAGUGAUGAAGGUCUUCGGAUCGUAAAACUCUGUUAUUAGGGAAGAACAAAUGUGUAAGUAACUAUGCACGUCUUGACGGUACCUAAUCAGAAAGUCACGGCUAACUACGUG
RNAcentral lists this ribosomal RNA (497 nucleotides) under uncultured bacterium. Its description in RNAcentral is "partial 16S ribosomal RNA". It matches the Rfam family "Bacterial small subunit ribosomal RNA", at positions 28 to 507 of the family's 1533-position model. The record is from RNAcentral.